This 200-nucleotide unclassified non-coding RNA is filed under the name Sebacina sp. Its description in RNAcentral is "partial internal transcribed spacer 2". The record is from RNAcentral. Lineage: Eukaryota; Fungi; Basidiomycota; Agaricomycetes; Sebacinales; Sebacinaceae.
UUAAGUUCAGCGGGUGGUCCUACUCGAUUUGAGGUCAAGUUGUCAGUUGUUGUCCGAAGACAGUUCGAAAGCACAGAGCUCCUGAUCAGCCACCCUCUUGCGAGGCGCCGGCGAAGACACUUAUCACGCCGUACUAUGUCCAAUCAAGAGAUGCACUAACAUAUUUCAGGUGAGCCACAGUCAAGCAGCAACACCCAAGU